RNAcentral lists this ribosomal RNA (514 nucleotides) under uncultured bacterium. RNAcentral describes it as "partial 16S ribosomal RNA". It matches the Rfam family "Bacterial small subunit ribosomal RNA", at positions 28 to 523 of the family's 1533-position model. The record is from RNAcentral.
GACGAACGCUGGCGGCGUGCCUAAUACAUGCAAGUCGAGCGGACGAAUCGAAAGCUUGCUUUUGAUUCGUUAGCGGCGGACGGGCGAGUAACACGUGGGCAACCUGCCCUGUAGACGGGGAUAACACCGAGAAAUCGGUGCUAAUACCGGAUAACGCGAAAUGUCGCAUGACGUUUCGUUGAAAGACGGCGCAAGCUGUCGCUACAGGAUGGGCCCGCGGCGCAUUAGCUAGUUGGUGAGGUAACGGCUCACCAAGGCGACGAUGCGUAGCCGACCUGAGAGGGUGAUCGGCCACACUGGGACUGAGACACGGCCCAGACUCCUACGGGAGGCAGCAGUAGGGAAUCUUCCGCAAUGGACGAAAGUCUGACGGAGCAACGCCGCGUGAGUGAAGAAGGCCUUCGGGUCGUAAAGCUCUGUUGUUAGGGAAGAACAAGUAACGCAGUAACUGGCGUUACCGUGACGGUACCUAACGAGAAAGCCACGGCUAACUACGUGCCAGCCGCCGCCGUAA